This 388-nucleotide ribosomal RNA is filed under the name uncultured bacterium. Its description in RNAcentral is "bacterial SSU rRNA". It matches the Rfam family "Bacterial small subunit ribosomal RNA", at positions 30 to 417 of the family's 1533-position model. The record is from RNAcentral.
AUUGAACGCUGGCGGCAUGCCUUACACAUGCAAGUCGAACGGCAGCACGGGGGCAACCCUGGUGGCGAGUGGCGAACGGGUGAGUAAUACAUCGGAACGUAUCCAGUAGCGGGGGAUAACUUCUCGAAAGAGAAGCUAAUACCGCAUACGACCUACGGUGAAAGAGGGGAGUCGCAAGACCUCUCACUAUUGGAGCGGCCGAUGUCGGAUUAGCUAGUUGGUGGGGUAACGGCCCACCAAGGCUACGAUCCGUAGCUGGUCUGAGAGGACGACCAGCCACACUGGAACUGAGACACGGUCCAGACUCCUACGGGAGGCAGCAGUGGGGAAGUUUUGGUACAAUGGGCGCAAGCCUGAUCCAGCCAUGCCGCGUGGGUGAAGAAGGCCU